GACGAACGCUGGCGGUGUGCUUAACACAUGCAAGUCGAACGGUAAGGCCCUUUCGGGGGUACACGAGUGGCGAACGGGUGAGUAACACGUGAGUAACCUGCCCUCAUCUCUGGGAUAACAGUCGGAAACGGUUGCUAAUACUGGAUAUGAGCUUGCAAGGCCUCUUGUGGGUUGGAAAGAUUUUUUUUGGUUGGGGAUGGACUCGCGGCCUAUCAGCUUGUUGGUGAGGUAGUGGCUCACCAAGGCUUCGACGGGUAGCCGGCCUGAGAGGGCGACCGGCCACAUUGGGACUGAGAUACGGCCCAAACUCCUACGGGAGGCAGCAAUGGGGAAUAUUGCACAAUGGACGGAAGUCUGAUGCAGCAACGCCGCGUGCGGGAUGACGGCCUUCGGGUUGUAAACCGCUUUCAAUUGUGACGAAGCUUUUUUGUGACGGUAGCAGUAGAAGAAGCACCGGCUAACUACGUG
This 468-nucleotide ribosomal RNA is filed under the name uncultured bacterium. RNAcentral describes it as "partial 16S ribosomal RNA". It matches the Rfam family "Bacterial small subunit ribosomal RNA", at positions 28 to 507 of the family's 1533-position model. The record is from RNAcentral.